RNAcentral lists this ribosomal RNA (758 nucleotides) under Ektaphelenchoides zingiberis. RNAcentral describes it as "partial large subunit ribosomal RNA". It matches the Rfam family "Eukaryotic large subunit ribosomal RNA", at positions 378 to 946 of the family's 3401-position model. Lineage: Eukaryota; Metazoa; Nematoda; Chromadorea; Rhabditida; Aphelenchoididae. The record is from RNAcentral.
GAAAAGAGAGUGCAAGAGAACGUGAAAUCGAUAUAAUGGAAGCGAAUGAAGUCGACGUAUCUAGUGCGUAUUAAGUUUUUGCGCAUUUUAAACUGUUUUAUAACGAUUGACCGGUAAGGCCUCAACGUUUUAAGCAUUUUAAAUGUGUAACAGCGUUUUUGCGUACAGAGUGCGGUAAGUCGAUUGACGUUGUCGGUGGAAGCAAAUUUAUAGAGGGCGGUUUUUUUUAAAACCAAAUCCUUGGUUUGUGGAUGCCUGAUUAGCGUUGUUCGGUUUAAAGUUUUAUAAACGCUGGCCUAGUCGGUUUGAAUUGUUGGCUUUUGCAAGUUAUGCGUUUGAGCGCGUGCGUUCAAUGCAUUAGUUUGUAAAAGUUUAAUAAUUUUAAAUCACAUGCGUUUAACUUGCCGUAUAGUCGGUCACUCAUUCGACCCGUCUUGAAACACGGACCAAGGAGUUUACGGUACACGCGAGAUAUUGGGUUAAAAAGCCCAAAAUCAUAAUGAAAGUGAAACAUUUUAAUGUUUAAACAACACGAUCAAUAAUUGAAAAUUUUUUUUAAUUAUUGCGCAGUGUUGCCCCAUAUUAUGAAUUUGUUCUGGUGUGGAGGUUGAGCGUGUGCGGUGAGACCCGAAAGAUGGUGAACUAUGCCUGAACAGGAUGAAGCCAGAGGAAACUCUGGUGGAAGUCCGAAGCGGUUCUGACGUGCAAAUCGAUCGUCUGAUUUUGGUAUAGGGGCGAAAGACUAAUCGAACCAUCUA